CCUGAUAGCACCCAUGUGUUUGGCCCCCUGGCAGUGACGCAUCAACCUUUGAGGACCACCACAGUUGUGAUAGACAUUGCUCAUUGGUUGGCAUACCAAGGCUGCCUCAAUGUAGGAGACAACAGCUCCCAUGGCACUAUGGCAGAGACCUGGCACAUCCACGGUCUUCCCUGGCAGGUCUUCUGAAGUCUUCCUGAAAGCAUCCCUGGUGAUCUGUGAGCCCUUGGUCGUGUUGCCCGCCUUCUUCCUGUGGGUCUUGCUGGAUGCUCAUUGUCCCUGUGAGCCGAGGCCCUGGAGGCUUCAGAUUUAGGUGAUGUUGCCACGUAUGACUGUCCAUCAGCCAGGAGAUGAACCCCCACCCGUGAGGCAGUGACUCAAGGUGCAAGGGAGUCCGGCAAGAAGUGUGGCGCACCCGAGUUGCUGCCACUGCUUUUUGGAUCACCCAGCACGGUGAUGUUGCCACGUAUGACUGUCCAUCAGCCAGGAGAUGAACCCCCCACCCGUGAGGCAGUGACUCAAGGUGCAAGGGAGUCCGGCAAGAAGUGUGGCGCACCCGAGUUGCUGCCACUGCUUUUUGGAUCACCCAGCACGGUGAUGUUGCCACGUAUGACUGUCCAUCAGCCAGGAGAUGAACCCCCACCCGUGAGGCAGUGACUCAAGGUGCAAGGGAGUCCGGCAAGAAGUGUGGCGCACCCGAGUUGCUGCCACUGCUUUUUGGAUCACCCAGCACGGUACGGCUUCUCCUGCCCCAAGACGUGUCGUGAAUUUCAGGUUUCCUGGGACUGCCUGAGUGGUUGUACGUAUAGAGGGACCGUUCCUCUUGCUGAGAAGCCUGAGGGCUCUGAGUUCCCCUGGCUGCUGGAGGACUCCCGGUCACUGGCUCCUCCUGGGAGCAGCCCUUCCUGCCGUGAGGAGGUGGGCAGCAAGCCAGCACGUGCUCGGAUCGAUGAUGACACCCUCACAUGCAUUCCUUGGAAAAUCUGAACAAAAUGAGUGAGAACUCACUACCGUCUCCUCAUCGAAACUGAGGUCCAGCACGUUGCCUCCCUUGGGGUUAAGGGUGGGACUGGUUAGCAGUGAGGGCGUCUCCGACUGUGUCACACACACGCAUGGAGGAGCCAGGUCACCACCAUUUGCGAGGCUCCCGUGUGAGGGUGGGCCAUGUACAGAUAUUCUAGCGGCCCUCUUGGAAUACAAGGUCCAUGUAAAGGCACUGAGGAGCAUAGAGCCAUCUGGCUUGUCCAGUGGUGGUAGGUGUCGCAGUAGACCCUAGCCUCAGACAGUUGACGUCUUAGCUUGGAAAGGUGCAUUUUGUCCUGAUUCCUGCUGCAGAUGCACUAAUUGGGGCUCUGGUGAUGUCGAUUCUAAAGCAAUGAAGCUUCUGUGGUUUGUGAUUGGAGCCCCAGGUCAGGUCUGAGGCCCUCGCCGUUGCAUCCCUUGGGUUGCUGAGAUUCCUGAGUGCCAGGGGGCUGCAGUGGCUGCAGAGACCUGGGGGAAUGGGGGCAGUUGUGAAAGUUAAUAGGCGGCCAUUUCUGCCCUUGGCAGUGGCCUGAAUUGCAACUCCUGUCACGUGCUUGAGUCUUGGAGGUCGCCAUGGA
RNAcentral lists this long non-coding RNA (1598 nucleotides) under Bos indicus x Bos taurus (hybrid cattle). Its description in RNAcentral is "lncRNA (ENSBIXG00000029509.1)". The stretch from base 941 to 1033 matches the Rfam family "Small nucleolar RNA SNORD116". The record is from RNAcentral. Lineage: Eukaryota; Metazoa; Chordata; Mammalia; Artiodactyla; Bovidae.